This 947-nucleotide long non-coding RNA is filed under the name Ananas comosus (pineapple). RNAcentral's name for it is "long non-coding RNA (ACOM_LNC015040)". Lineage: Eukaryota; Viridiplantae; Streptophyta; Magnoliopsida; Poales; Bromeliaceae. The record is from RNAcentral.
GGCACAAUCUGAUGCAAAUACAGAAAUCUGGGUCCACCGUCAAUAGCGACAGCAACCGACAAUCCAAAACAGUCUACAUACUACUGUAAAAUAAACUCGACAUCUCAGCAUGAGCGUAAAUUCAUUCUACACUAUUCUGUAUAUCCACUGCGUACAAACUGCGGCGAAACAAACUAACUACAGCUCCUAAAGUUAAAUCUGUUAGUUUUCAAAAAGUGACAGUGUAGAAUCUGAUAGUUUUCUCCUAAGUCAAUUCUAAGUCCAACAUAUAAAAUUACACUACUAGCUUAACUCUAAAUUCAGAUUUAAAAUACUAAUCCAUGAAUUCGAGUACUAGCAAGAAAAUACACAGAUGAUACAUGUUGAUGAUGCUAAAACUUAGAAGAUAAUCCGACGAUUUCGGUAAACUUCAACCCACCUCGAAAAGCUAGUCUAACAACGGCGAGAAGUCGAGAGAAGGGAAAACACGUGCUCGCCCGGCCUCCAACGGCGCAACCGCGACGUCCACGCGCUAGAGCGGCUCCCCGGCGCAACGUCGACGCCGAUCCGAGCUCAAGCCGUAGCCUCCACCAAGCACACCAUUAAACUAGAAAGAGAGAGGGAAAGGAUAAUUAUCCUCAGGUGACCAAGUUGAGUGGAUAAAUAUAAAGAGGGAGUAGGUGGCAUGCUUAUCCACCAACCAAAAGACCAUUCUGCCCCUCACCAACUCAACAUCCCAGCUGGAGUACCGGUACCAGCUCGAUGCCGUACCGGUACUCAGCAUCAAUUAUCGCAACCCGAGAGCAGCAGUUCGAAAAAUACACUGGGGUAUCGGUACUCCCCUGCAUGGUACCGGUACUCAAUACUGAAACCUGCACUUUGCAGACUUCAAUAUCAAACUCUGCUCUCGCGUCGCACUGAGUCCGUUUUGCGUCCAUUUCGCGCCAAAAUGACUCCGACUUGUCCCG